GACGAACGCUGGCGGCGUGCUUAACACAUGCAAGUCGAACGGAAAGGCCCUGCUUUUGUGGGGUGCUCGAGUGGCGAACGGGUGAGUAACACGUGAGUAACCUGCCCUUGACUUUGGGAUAACUUCAGGAAACUGGGGCUAAUACCGGAUAGGAGCUCCUGCUGCAUGGUGGGGGUUGGAAAGUUUCGGCGGUUGGGGAUGGACUCGCGGCUUAUCAGCUUGUUGGUGGGGUAGUGGCUUACCAAGGCUUUGGCGGGUAGCCGGCCUGAGAGGGUGACCGGCCCCAUUGGGACUGAGAUACGGCCCAGACUCCUACGGGAGGCAGCAGUGGGGAAUAUUGCCCAAUGGGCGGAAGCCUGAUGCAGCAACGCCGCGUGCGGGAUGACGGCCUUCGGGUUGUAAACCGCUUUCGCCUGUGACGAAGCGUUAGUGACGGUAAUGGGUAAAGAAGCACCGGCUAACUACGUG
Molecule: ribosomal RNA, 468 nt
Filed under: uncultured bacterium
Lineage: Bacteria
Description: partial 16S ribosomal RNA
Rfam family: Bacterial small subunit ribosomal RNA
Source: RNAcentral